Molecule: ribosomal RNA, 460 nt
Filed under: uncultured bacterium
Lineage: Bacteria
Description: partial 16S ribosomal RNA
Rfam family: Bacterial small subunit ribosomal RNA
Source: RNAcentral
CCUACGGGUGGCAGCAGUGAGGAAUAUUGGUCAAUGGACGAGAGUCUGAACCAGCCAAGUAGCGUGAAGGAUGAUUGCCCUAUGGGUUGUAAACUUCUUUUAUAUGGGAAUAAAAUGUUCCACGUGUGGGAUUUUGUAUGUACCAUAUGAAUAAGGAUCGGCUAACUCCGUCCCAGCAGCCGCGGUAAUACGGAGGAGCCGAGCGUUAUCCGGAUUUAUUGGGUUUAAAGGGAGCGUAGGUGGAUUGUUAAGUCAGGUGGGAAAGUUUGCGGCUCAACCGUAAAAUUGCAGUUGAGACUGGCAGUCUUGAGUACAGUAGAGGUGGGCGGAAUGCGUGGUGUAGCGGUGAAAUGCUUAGAUAUCACGAAGAACUCCGAUUGCGAAGGCAGUUCACUAGACUGCAACUGACACUGAGGCUCGAAAGUGUGGGUAUCAAACAGGAUUAGAUACCCUUGUAGUC